RNAcentral lists this ribosomal RNA (401 nucleotides) under uncultured bacterium. RNAcentral describes it as "bacterial SSU rRNA". It matches the Rfam family "Bacterial small subunit ribosomal RNA", at positions 355 to 774 of the family's 1533-position model. The record is from RNAcentral.
UGGGGAAUAUUGCACAAUGGGCGAAAGCCUGAUGCAGCAACGCCGCGUGGAGGAUGAAGGCCUUCGGGUUGUAAACUCUUGUCUUCUGGGACGAUAAUGACGGUACCAGAGGAGGAAGCCACGGCUAACUACGUGCCAGCAGCCGCGGUAAUACGUAGGUGGCAAGCGUUGUCCGGAUUUACUGGGCGUAAAGGAUGCGUAGGCGGAUAUUUAAGUGGGAUGUGAAAUACCCGGGCUCAACCUGGGUGCUGCAUUCCAACUGGAUAUCUGGAGGGCGGGAGAGGAAAGUGGAAUUCCUAGUGUAGCGGUGAAAUGCGUAGAGAUUAGGAAGAACACCAGUGGCGAAGGCGACUUUCUGGACCGUAACUGACGCUGAGGCAUGAAAGCGUGGGGAGCAAACA